CUCCACUCUGCAAUGAGAAAACUGAUGCCCAGACAAGGGGAGGUGACUUGCCGUGUUCAUACAGAGUUGCUGGUAGAGUUGGUGGACCAGGGAUUCCUGACCGCCAGGCACUGUUUUGGACACUGGGGAUAGAGAAGUGAACAAGCCACAGACUUUGACCUCCAGAAGUUCCCUGUGUACUAAGGGAGAAAUGUCUGCAGAGAAAGAAGUAGAGGUCAGCAUGAUAAAACCAUACCUGAGCUCCUGGAGCAUUUGUACUUCCCUCAGUAAUAUAUAUAUAUACUUUAUCAUGAUCAAAAUCCCAAAGAGAAGGAAAAAGAGAAGUUAGCCCAACAUUUGGAGUUUUCCCCUCCAGGUAUUUGCUGACUUCUAAGUAGCAGCCAAGAGGCCAAGAAGCUGAGUAUCAAAUGGUGGCUGAGGAGCUGAGGAGCUGAGAAGCUGAGCAGAGCCCAGUAGUCACUCAGGUCUGGGAAGUUAAAAAUUGGAAUUCAGGGGCCACCAGGGUGGAGGGAUAAACACAAGGAAAGGCAACACCCAAGGAGAAAAGAGGAAUUGGAAAUACCAGUCAUCUCAGACUGAGACACCCUUUGAAUCGGCUUAAUCUCAGAACCAAUCGACUGCUCUGCUUCUCUCUAAACUGCAUUCAGAAAAAGAAGUAAACACUCUGGAGAAAGAUAACAACAUCUAGAACCUUGAAAUAUCUCUACCAUUUUUUGUGGACAAUUGCUAGCAUUCAAUCUCAAAUCAUCAGACAUACCAGGAAUCAAGAAUAAAAAGGAUCAAAAUCAAAAGAAAUAUUACAAGAGAAACAGAGAAAGAGGAGAUCCAGCUAUUGGAGUUAUCAAUACAUAAAAUGGGGAUAACAACAGGACCUACUAAAUGAACUCAGCUUCUAAAAGGCUGGAGCCCCAGACUGCCUUCCAGCUGAGCAUCUGCAGAUGUGAGGAGCCCUGCCUGAGCCCCUCCAAGCAGGAACCCCUCCAGAUCAAGAUGCAUGGCUGUGUUCCAGGAGGCUGGGUGUUCGAGCCAUUGACCCUCUGCAGUCAAUUUGCUCCAGUUUCAUAGAAUGUUCCCACAGUCAGAUGGCUGUGGGAACCCAGACCUGGGCCCCUGGAGCUUUCCCCACUAACUUGCUCCUUGGAGCAAUUACCAGACCAUCCGUGCAGAUUUAUGUUUCCUGAGGCCUAGAGGCUCCCUUCUCUCGUAGCCUGUGUGACCUUUCCCGUAGCUGUCUCCACUUGCUCAUGGCUUCUUCACCUGAAAAAAAAAAAAAAGGCUCUGCCCAGGGAGCUGUGCUCCAAGAGAAGACAGGACAGCUUGGCACAGUGCCAUGGCCUAUCUGGCCAGGGUAAGAACAACGUGUCCCUGAAUGGAAUUUGUGGAAGUUAAGCCUACUUGGAGUAGAUGCUUGC
Molecule: long non-coding RNA, 1412 nt
Filed under: Equus caballus (horse)
Lineage: Eukaryota; Metazoa; Chordata; Mammalia; Perissodactyla; Equidae
Description: lncRNA (ENSECAG00000047888.1)
Source: RNAcentral